RNAcentral lists this long non-coding RNA (4795 nucleotides) under Olea europaea subsp. europaea. Lineage: Eukaryota; Viridiplantae; Streptophyta; Magnoliopsida; Lamiales; Oleaceae. The record is from RNAcentral.
AUAAUGAGUUAUUAGAAACGUUAUCCAAAUUCUAGCUCUCUAUCUCUUAGAACUUUACUUGGAUGAUAAUUUUGUGAUGACAAAUUAUUGAGGAAGAAUCCGAGAAAUGAGACCAUAUCACAACAUUCACUGUUGCUACAUUUUAAUUCCACGAGGUUACUAGGAAACUACCUUCUAUUUGAUUGGUUUCUUUUCUACGGUGGGAUGGAUCAAACAGGGAAACUUCCAUUUCUUUUCCUUCAUCCUCUCCUAUAAAAUGAGACCUAAUCUUCGACUCGUUUAUACUUAAAUCAGUGUCUACAAUACAGCAAAACAACGUAAAAUAUUUCUUUCCGACAUCAUAAUGGUUCCCAAGAAGGCAAUUCUCUACCUUCUCUAUCUUUGUUCAUAAUAUACGACGCUGCUUCCAUGGUGAUGGUGACUGCUACCGUCUCCAAUGACAUCAGUAAGUUAUCCUUUCUAGCAUCUCAAAAUUUUUACAUUAAUGGAAACUAAUUCGGUAGUGCAUGUGGUUCAUGCAGCUCAAGCAACAGUAGAGAAAAAUAAAGUGCAUAUGAUUUCCGAUGUUGCGCAGCCUGUUCGCCAUCGUCCAAUUCCAGGCACUCCAGUUCCGAAACACCUGAAAAUCGUCUUCCUUGCUGUUGGAGAAGAUGUCUCUUGUUGCUGCUUUGCUGCAGAGGAUGCUAAGAAAAUCGGAUAUUGGCCCUAUAAUUAGUGAGUUCCAUUCACUUUAUUAUCAACUAGAUUUGAUAGAAUUGAGGGAAAAAAAAAAGGUUCAAAUAUCGUGUGUUGGGUGCAAACGCCCAUGUUUGGCCCCCAUUUUGUGGAAAUGAAAAUGGGUGGAAUCGUAUUUAUUUGAAAAAUAAGUGAUUGAAAAUAAAGAAAAAAGUUUUCUAUUUACAUAUAAUAUUAUUUUACAGAAGAUUGUGUGAUUGAAAAUAAGAAAGAGAGAAAUGGAAUGUAAUGGAAUGAGAAUUAUUGGGGGCCAAACGGGGGCUAAAAACUAACUGAAUCCGUUUUAAAUAAACAACUUUUCCUUGGUCAAAGUUGAUUUUAAGGGUCUUACAUUAAAGUUAUUAUAAAUAAUUACCUUACCAUCAAACAUAAAAAAAAUUUAAAAAAAAAAAAUCUGAUUUUUAAUAUAAUUGAACAAAGACAAAAUAUAGGCACUACCCAAUGUCAUGUCAUGUUCUCGCUAUUCAACAUCAUUUUCCCACAAGAAAUUUCAUGGUGCAAUCCUCCUCAAUUAUGAUUAAAUAAUCAUAAAUUCAAAUUAAAUAAAUACAUGUUUUAACUUCAAAAAUGAGUAUAAUAUUUUUUAUUUGAUACAUUAAAUGUUUGACAUAGAUUCACAUAGAUACUUUUCUUUACAUCUUUAUAACACUCAUUUCUAUUAUGAGUUAUAGCCUUAUUGAAAAGAGAUCUAUGAUCGUUUACGAUUUUUCAAAACAUUUGAAUUAACAUUUGUUAAGAAAAUAUUGAAGAUGACAAUUAACAAACUUGUUGCACAAUUACCUUCUUUACUUAUUCUCCAUACAAAAGAUUAUUUAUUUCUAAAGGGCAUAGUUAUAAUAAGAAGUAUAUUUAAUUUAAAGAGUAAUUUUCACAUAAACUCCGACGAGCUCUUUAUUUUAUUUUUUUCAAAAAUCACUUAUUAUUUUCUCUUUUAUGAUAUAUAUAUGUCAAUGACGAAUAAAUUUAAAAAUGGUUUGAAUAAUUCAAAUUAAUAUAGCAUCAAAAAAAUUACAGCUUAUUAGAUGCCAUCAUCAUAGUUUUUAGACCUGACCCGAUCAAGGUACAGGAUCAUCGGGUUACCGGCGGUCGAACAGGUAAAUUGAUGGUCGGACUAAUGGGUCAUUACUUAAAAAUAAUUUAAUUGUUUUUAAAGUAUAAUUUUAUAUUUUUUGUUUGAGACGAUUAAAAUUUUCAAGUUCUUUGUCACUAAUUAUUUUUAUACCUUUAAAUUAAUAAUUUUUUGAACUCAUUUAUUAGUGAUAAUGAUUACAUUGGCAAGUUCAUGCUCUAGUUACCCAUAGGUCAAGUGUUCAAAUUUUUUGUCCUAAAAAUUUCAAUGAAAAAAAGUUUUAAAAUUUGGUUAAAAAAUUAACUAGGCCAGACCGGACUGAUAAUUGUAUAAAACCAUCUAAUUGACCCGGUCAAAUCUGAUUUUUGUCCAAACCACUUGUAUUUGCAUAAUAUGAUAAUGUAUGGCCCUGCCCAGGGUCCGGGUCACAAGUUUGCUGAGCUGAUUUUAAUAACAAUGACCAUCAUUAUAAAGUAUAAAUAGAAAAUGGAUAUGACUCUUCAAAUUUGAAGAGUCAAACACACUAUUUUAAAAAGUUAAAAUAGGUAGUUUAGGGUAUUUUCAAGAGAAUCUUUAUUUAUAAAUAACAUCUUAUGUAUAUUAAAAAUCAUCUUUAAAUUUAGAGGGUAAAAUUAGUGCACUACAAAUUACUCGACAGUAAUUCAAAAGGUUGCCCUAUUGGGGUUUUACUUUUUUCAAGAAAUAUAAAAUAUUUGUUGCUUUGUCAUCAUAUUUUAUAGAGUAAUGUUAUUUAACCCUAUUGGGAUUGCAACCCCAUUUUAGGUGGAUCUAAUGUGUCAUUAAUUGAUAGGUAAAAUUAAAUAACUCAUUUAAUGUGUUUAACCUAUCAAUUAGUGCCACCUAAACUAGGGUUAUAAUCUCAAUGGGCUACAUAGUAUUAUUCUAUUUUAUAUAACAUGUUUUAAAUGUAAGUAUUGAAAUACAUAAAUUAUUAAUUAUAAACACUAUAAAGUAAGAAUAGAUAUUAUUUUUGGCCUCCUCUAUUUUGAAAUGUUAAAAUAGAUAUAUUAGAGUAUCUUUAAAGGAUUCUCUUUAUUUAUAAAUAGCAUCUUAUGUGAUCAUCUCUAAAUUUAGAGGGUAAAGUUUAAUGCACUCCAAAAAUGCUCUUUUCUUUGCCUCUUCAUUUUACAUUUUUCAAGAAAUAUUUAUUGUUCUGUCAUCAUAUUUUUUAAAUUUAAAUGAUCAAACAUAAUUUGAAUAAUUAUAGGAGUAAGUAUUGAAUCAUUGACUUUCUAAAUGGAAAGCAGAUUGUAUUUAAAGAGUCUUGAAAGUUAACAUAUUAGAGUAUAGUUUUGAAGAUUGACAGUUUAAAAUGGAUAAUAUCUUUUUUUUAAAAGUCUCUUGAUGUAAUGCUCUAACGCACCAAAUAGUUUUUAUUUGUCACGAUAUUGGAGUGUACGUAUCUUUGAAUGAUUCUAAGUAGAAUUAUCUUUGAUAGACUAUUCCUCUCAUAGAUAUCAAUUAUAUUUGAGUUUGUACAUGUGUGUUCGAUGCUAAGAAUAAAUGUUUCAAAAUUUAAAAAUUGAAUUAUCUUAAAUUUUAUUAAUAAAUUAAUUUAUUAAGCAUAUAUUUUGUUAAUUAGAUAUAUUAAGAUCACAAUUCUAAGCAAUUGGGUCACAAUUUAUGAAUUAACUAAUUAUAAAUUAAUUUUCGAUCACAACUUUCAAAUAUUGGUCGCAACUAUUUCUCGAUCACAAAUCAAAAUUUUUAUUCAUUACAGAUUAUUCAUGGGUCACAAAAUCAAACUUUUAUUAUUCCCAACUCAUUUAUUCAUUGCAAAUUAUUAAAUUAAUUUGCUCACAAUUAAUUUUUCAAUCACAACUUAAUCAAUUGUGAGUCACAAUCACAAUAUUUACGUCACAUAUUACAAAUUAACCAAUUAGUGAUCAUAAUCAACCAGAUAAUUGGUCACAACUCAUCCAACCACAUCUCAUCCCACCUACUACCAUCGGCACGAGAGCCACUAUCACCAUCACCAUUACAACCACAAGACCUUUCACAACCACAAAGCCACCUAGCUACCAACAAAACCUUUGCAACGUCACCCAACUAUCAACAAAAUCAUCUCCACCACUGCCACGAUUGCCACUCCAACAUAUAGAAACGAAAGCAAUGCAUGUUCCAUCACCCUCACCACCUGUAAAGCUACCACCGCAACCCAACAUUGCACAGCUACCAACACUGCAACCACUACAUAUUUUGUCCCACUCUGCCGCCACCAACAACCACAACCACCCAUUGUCUUCUUCAGCUCCGAUCUGCAGUAACCAUAAUCAAAUCGUAUCAACCAUGCCAUCCCACACACAAAGCAUCCGCCACAUUACCCACCAUAGCCACCAGUGACCAACAGCACCACCUCCACCUAACUAUCACUGCUAGCAUCAUUACCUCCACAGCCAAACCACAGAUUUAAAAUCAAAAGAAAAUCAUUGAUUCUCCGGUUAUAUCACCAGCAUCAUCACUGGCGAUCCAAAAUCAAAAGCAAAAUCACUGGCAUCAUCGUCAGUGACGAGCGAGCAGCAUCGACGAUUCUCCAGAGGAAUCAAAGCAGCUGCACUAGGAGAGAAGCCAGAAGAAGCACCGACUGGAGUAAACGCAAUAACCGCGCCAUCUAAACUCCACCACCGCACAAUCUCAGCCGCGUGCAGCGCCUUCGCCACUGCCUGAUUCGUGCAGCAACCACCAUCCCAAAACUUCGCAAGAACCCAAAAAAAUCAGAUUUUUCCCAGAUUGACACAGCCUGCCUCUCCACUACGGUGGUCUCCAACUUUUGCUUGAGACGGUUCUGAGAGAAAAAGGAGAAUAUGAAUUUGAUUAGGGUUUGGGGAGUGGUAGGAUGAAAUUUGUGUUAUAAUAUUUAUUAUUAAUAUUAAAAUUUUGAAUCAAUAUCAGAUUCUUGUACAAACAAACUUUGGAUCUGAUUUUUGAAGUUGGAUCUUUAAAAAUAUGGAUGGUGUAAUUAACUUUACG